This 437-nucleotide ribosomal RNA is filed under the name uncultured Alphaproteobacteria bacterium. Its description in RNAcentral is "bacterial SSU rRNA". It matches the Rfam family "Bacterial small subunit ribosomal RNA", at positions 8 to 488 of the family's 1533-position model. The record is from RNAcentral. Lineage: Bacteria; Pseudomonadati; Pseudomonadota; Alphaproteobacteria.
AGAGUUUGAUCCUGGCUCAGAACGAACGCUGGCGGCAGGCUUAACACAUGCAAGUCGAACGGGUGUAGCAAUACAUCAGUGGCAGACGGGUGAGUAACACGUGGGAACCUUCCUAGGGGUACGGAACAACUCAGGGAAACUUGAGCUAAUACCGUAUACGUCCGUGAGGAGAAAGAUUUAUCGCCCUUAGACGGGCCCGCGUCGGAUUAGCUAGUUGGUGGGGUAACGGCCUACCAAGGCGACGAUCCGUAGCUGAUCUGAGAGGAUGAUCAGCCACACUGGGACUGAGACACGGCCCAGACUCCUACGGGAGGCAGCAGUGGGGAAUCUUGGACAAUGGGCGCAAGCCUGAUCCAGCCAUGCCGCGUGAGUGAAGAAGGCCUUCGGGUUGUAAAGCUCUUUUGUUCAGGGACGAUAAUGACGGUACCUGAAGAAUU